Mus musculus (house mouse) is the source of this 466-nucleotide RNA transcript. It is a transcript of the gene named RIKEN cDNA 4930515G16 gene, with no coding region annotated. NCBI's taxonomy places the organism in Eukaryota, Metazoa, Chordata, Mammalia, Rodentia, Muridae. The record is from RefSeq and is marked provisional. The transcript has a single exon.
AUGAAUGUGGAAACCCCAGCUGAUUUAACAAGGAAGUUGAGUGGCUUUCUGGAAACUCUUACAGACCAGCUCAAGGGCAGAAAAGAACUGCUGUCAUCAGAUAUGAAGAAGGACUUCGUCAUGCACAGACUCGUCCUUUCUAUGUGGGAAAUGGAACAGAGACAAUGAAUCCAGGUGAAAAGUUGCCAAGGUUGGACAACAUAAUAUGACUGCAGUCCAAAGAUCUCAUUGUCCUCUCAGUAGGGGUCAGCUCAGAAUCAAUGUGAUGAAGCUCAACAAAAGAUGGUUUACAUCUAUCAUUCCCUAAAGAAUGCGAGACAGAUGCCCAUGAUGGGAAAAGAUGUGGAAUCAGAGAUUUACAGACUUCGCUUCCCUUUAUCACACAUGGAUGCUCUGAAGAAAAUCUGGUGUGGGUCACCAAUUCGUGUUAAGAGCCUGAAACUUCAAAUGAAGAAAAGGAGAGCCU